CGGGGUGCAGCAGGCGCGAAAACUUUACAAUGCUGGCAACAGCGAUAAGGGGACCUCGAGUGCUAGGAUACAAUCUUGGCUGUCGUGAUGCCUAAAAAGCAUUGCAUAGCAAGGGCCGGGCAAGACCGGUGCCAGCCGCCGCGGUAACACCGGCGGCUCGAGUGGUAACCGCUAUUAUUGGGUCUAAAGGGUCUGUAGCCGGCCGGAUAAGUCUCUUGGGAAAUCCGACAGCUCAACUGUCGGGCUUUCAGGGGAUACUGUUCGGCUCGAGGCCGGGAGAGGUGAGAGGUACUUCAGGGGUAGGGGUGAAAUCUUGUAAUCCUUGAAGGACCACCAGUGGCGAAGGCGUCUCGCCAGAACGGUCCUGACGGCAAGGGACGAAAGCUAGGGGCACGAACCGGAUUAGAUACCCGGGUAGUCCUAGCCGUAAACGAUACUCGCUAGGUGUCGGCCACGGUGUGACCGUGGUCGGUGCCGUAGGGAAGCCGUGAAGCGAGCCACCUGGGAAGUACGGCCGCAAGGCUGAAACUUAAAGGAAUUGGCGGGGGAGCAC
Molecule: ribosomal RNA, 553 nt
Filed under: uncultured archaeon
Lineage: Archaea
Description: bacterial SSU rRNA
Rfam family: Archaeal small subunit ribosomal RNA
Source: RNAcentral